CAACCGCGCCAGGUAACAACCAGUAACAACGGAAAGUCAGGGCCGCUAGUUCCGCCAUCGCGGUGGUUUUGCUAAACAAUGUUCUCUCCUGCACUGGAAGGGCCCUUGGUCCUAGGACGGGCGCCCGCUUGUCGCGGCACAUCUUGGGGGACAGCAGCCUCAGAGAGAGCUUGGAUGUACACACGCACACUGUUGGAACUUCCACCCAAAACUUGCCCACAACGCACAACUCAACACAACACCACCUCAGGG
RNAcentral lists this long non-coding RNA (252 nucleotides) under Volvox carteri. RNAcentral's name for it is "long non-coding RNA (VCAR_LNC002486)". The record is from RNAcentral. Lineage: Eukaryota; Viridiplantae; Chlorophyta; Chlorophyceae; Chlamydomonadales; Volvocaceae.